This 280-nucleotide ribosomal RNA is filed under the name uncultured bacterium. Its description in RNAcentral is "partial 16S ribosomal RNA". It matches the Rfam family "Bacterial small subunit ribosomal RNA", at positions 506 to 784 of the family's 1533-position model. The record is from RNAcentral.
UGCCAGCCGCCGCGGUAAUACGAAGGGGGCUAGCGUUGUUCGGAAUCACUGGGCGUAAAGCGCACGUAGGCGGAUUGUUAAGUCAGGGGUGAAAUCCCGAGGCUCAACCUCGGAACUGCCUUUGAUACUGGCAAUCUUUGAGUCCGGGAGAGGUGAGUGGAAUUCCGAGUGUAGGGGUGAAAUCCGUAGAUAUUCGGAGGAACACCAGUGGCGAAGGCGGCUUUCUGGACCGAUACUGACGCUGAGACGCGAAAGCGUGGGGAGCAAACAGGAUUAGAUA